Molecule: transfer RNA, 77 nt
Filed under: Shewanella putrefaciens
Lineage: Bacteria; Pseudomonadati; Pseudomonadota; Gammaproteobacteria; Alteromonadales; Shewanellaceae
Description: tRNA-Trp
Source: RNAcentral
GAUAAAGCCCCUAGCGCUGAACCUAAGUUAACUGAGUUUUUCUCUUUCUAUUGCCAUAAUUGCUUUAAUAUGGAAAC